GAUCCUGGCUCAGGAUGAACGCUGGCGGCGUGCCUAACACAUGCAAGUCGAGCGAAGCACUUUGCUUAGAUUCUUCGGAUGAAGAGGAUUGUGACUGAGCGGCGGACGGGUGAGUAACGCGUGGGUAACCUGCCUCAUACAGGGGGAUAACAGUUAGAAAUGACUGCUAAUACCGCAUAAGACCACAGCACCGCAUGGUGCGGGGGUAAAAACUCCGGUGGUAUGGGGUGGACCCGCGU
This 239-nucleotide ribosomal RNA is filed under the name uncultured bacterium. RNAcentral's name for it is "partial 16S ribosomal RNA". It matches the Rfam family "Bacterial small subunit ribosomal RNA", at positions 15 to 236 of the family's 1533-position model. The record is from RNAcentral.